CCCUGCCUUUUGUACACACCGCCCGUCGCUACUACCGAUUGAAUAUGUUAGUGAGGUCUCCGGAGAUGAUCACUGCGGUGCUUUUGUACUGCGGAUGUUUUAUCAAAGUUGACCGAACUUGCUUAUUU
This 128-nucleotide ribosomal RNA is filed under the name uncultured eukaryote. Its description in RNAcentral is "partial small subunit ribosomal RNA". It matches the Rfam family "Eukaryotic small subunit ribosomal RNA", at positions 1651 to 1774 of the family's 1831-position model. The record is from RNAcentral.